This 38664-nucleotide long non-coding RNA is filed under the name Gossypium barbadense (sea-island cotton). Its description in RNAcentral is "long non-coding RNA (GBAR_LNC009078)". Lineage: Eukaryota; Viridiplantae; Streptophyta; Magnoliopsida; Malvales; Malvaceae. The record is from RNAcentral.
CAAAAUAAUCUUUUAUUUCAUUUUUAAGAAAAAGAGAUGUUCCAUGAUAUUGAAGGAUAGGUUUGAAUUUAUAAAAACUAAUAACUUGGGUUUGUGAUAAUUUGUAAAAAUACAUAUGCUUGUGAGAGGGAGGAUAAGUCACAAAAAGCUUUUUCAUUUUUAUUUCUAAUACUAACAUUAGAAAGUGAAGAAAGUGAGGUUUUUAUAGUUGAAAUAAAAUGAGAUGUAUUUUUAGUUGUUUUAUUAAUUCUUUCUUGAUUUGCUUCAUUAUUGUGAAUGAAUUCUCAAUCAUUUUUUUUGUUGAUUCAAGAAAAAGUUGGGUAUUGGUUCUUGGAAUAUUAAUGAUAUAUAGAAGAAUAUCCAUGUAUAUCUUUUCAAUGAAAAAAUUUAAAAAAAAAUAGAAUUUCCGGAUUAAUCGAAUAUUUCUUCUUUUUACUAUUUGCCAAAAUUUUUUUGAUGAUUCUAAUAUUUUAUCCUGAUAACUUACUUUGUUAGAACUACUAUUUAUUUCUUGAGUUAGAAAUUCGUUUUUCUUGUAUUUUAUAAUUAGAAUUUUUUGUAUUUGAUUUUUGAUUGUGUUUGUUCUCUUAGUCAGAUCUUUUAUUUUUUUCGGUUAAUGAAUAAUUUGUCCACGCCAUCGAUUGAAUUUGAAGGGAUGAUUUGUGAAUCAUCUUAUUACUGAUUAUCGAAUCCUUUUUAGUUUCGCCCAAUUCAUAUGGUUCUCUCAACCCAAAAAAUGGAAUUGGAUUUAUUUUUGAAAGUUCUUUUAUUAUUCCUUUUAGAAAUAGAAUGCUUUGAGUGAUCCAUUUUUUGUUUCUUUUGAAGCUUUUCGAAACAAUUUAUUUUUUUCUUUUAAAAUUGUUAAAGCUAUAAAACAUUUCGUUUUCCAUUUUUUAUUUUAUUUUUAGUUCUUUAAAAAUAGGCUCAAAAAACGAAUGCCGAUUUCAAGGAGGGCCGAAAGGUAGUUCAGUUUCCAUUCCCCAAACUGUUAAAAAGAAAAAAUCAUUCUUUUGACCUUUCUUUUUUUUUUCAUUGGAUCUUUAUGAGAGGGUUGUAGUUUAAAUCUAUGCCAAGGUUUCAGGCAAAAAGGAAAUAGGAUCUUUAUCUGAAUACCGUCUGUUAACCAGUUUUUUGGAAAUUCUGUUUCGGAUAAUUGAACACCAUUAUAAGUGCAUUUAACAUGCAUUUCUCGAUUCCAAUCCGUUAAAUCCUCAGACCACUCAGGAAAUUGAAAUAAUAACAUACGGGCAAUGUUUUUAACUAUUAUCAGUGAAGGUAAUAUAAUAUAUUUUCUAAGAAUUGAUUGGGUUAUUAACACGGAGCCCCUUAUUACUUGAGCAAGUAAAAGACUAUCCCAAGCUUCUGCUAUUUCUAUCCUCAUUCUCUUCUCUUUUGUAUUUUUCUCUUUUGGCCUCUUCUUUUUUCUCGAUCUUUUUUUCUGUAUAAUCAGAAAUUUUUGAUUCUUUGUUUUUACAUAUCCAAUUUCGAGAUAUUCGUUUCAGCGGUCCAGAAAUAUCAAAAGAAAAAAAAGAGUGGUUUGUCUACUCUGUCCAAAAAAAGGUGAUACGAGUCACAAAGGCCCAACCCAAGCUUAAGAAGGUGAUGGGCUCAAAUCAAGAAAAUCAAGAUUCACUUUCUUGUUUUCAAGAAAAUUAAGAAAUCGAAUCUUGGCCCAAUUUUGCUGUUCGGAGCGAUUUCAAGAAUCAAGAAAAUCAAGAUUUCAAAUCUUGGAAAUCUUGGUCCAAGAAACCGAAUCUUGCAGCCAAAGCGCGUUGGAUCUCCAUUACGAGCGUCAACGACCCAAUUUUGGUAGGAGAUGGAUCACGAGCCCAAAUUCUUGAAGGCGAGGCCCAAUAACCAAAAUCCAGCCCAAUCAAGAAAUUUCUUCAUACUUAGUUGAAAAAUCAGGCCAAAAUGUCAAAGGGCCCAAUUUGUAAACAUCUUACUUGUUUAAUUUAAUUUUUUAAUCUUUAGGAGCAUUACAUGUAAAAUUCGGCCCAAAACAACCCAUAUAAGUGCAUGGCCAAAUUUACCUUGUUUUUUUAUUAAUUAGGUUUAAUUUUUUUAUUAGUUACUUGUGAGAUUAGGAUUUGUUGGAGGCCUAUAUAAGCAUUGGCUAGCCACCCUUUGUAAAAACAUCUCAUUAUUAUUUUUUCUAUCAAAUUUCAGAUUUGUUGAGUGCAGAAUUUUCUUUGGGGUUUUCUCCAAGAAUUCUCUCUUGAGUUUUCUUUAGAAGUUGUUUUAACAAUCUUUUGAUUGUGGGAGCCAUCUUCAACCUUCUUCUUGCCAUCGAUAUUCCUUGGAGGGGAGAUUAGAGCCGUUUGAAGGAAUUUGUGAAUUCUUUCGGGAAUUCAAGGGUUCUUAGGACUUUUCUUUAUUUCUUGCUGUUUCGAUUUGUUUCUUUAUUCCUACUUGUGCCAAUUCAUCAUCUAAUAAUUUGCUGUUCUUGUUUGUGUUUCAGCCUUGAUUCAAACUCCAAGAACUCUUCAUUUAAUCGGUUCUUUUAUUGGCAACAUAUAAUCGACUCAAAAUUCCCCAAAAUUUAGGGUUCUUGCCGUUUUCUAUUUCUUCUUGUUGGGUGAAAUUCGGCUGCUGAAAUUUGGGCAAUUCAUAUUGGGUGUUCAAUUGGACCGAAUCGCAACUUAAAUUCUCUUCUUGAACCCUUCAAUUUCAUCUAUUUCUUUCUUUUCUUUUGCCGUCCAAAUCCCUAAGCUUCCAAUUAAAAAUCUGAUUGUUUCAAUCUACUUACUGUUUUGGUGUUCUUGGCAGGUUUGGCUUGUGGGAUUUCACUAUUGGAGUUCGAUUUCAUCUUCUUGAACUCCGAAUACAUUUAUUCAUUCGUUCUUUGUUCCUUGCUGCUCAUUUAAUUGAAUUUGGGGAUUUAAUUUCAGAUCUGAUUAGUUUAAUCUUGUUCUUUGUUUUUAAUUUAAAGAUCUGUUCGUUUAGAGCUUUCGUAGGAGUUUCUCGUGACUUGGCAACUCGAUCUUGGUCCGCGCGCAUCCCCGUAUCAUUUGGUAUCAGAUUUUGGGCGUUUUGGGUGUUCUUGGUUGAUUUCUAAACUGAUCUCUAUUUUUUAAAGCAUAAACAGCAGUUUUACCCAGAAAAAUUGUUCAAAAAAAAUUCAUUUGAGUGGGUAAACGUUGUCCGAUUGAUCUAAAAUUUUACAUACAUGUUUUUGGCACUGUGAUUGAAUAUAAAAAAAUUAUUCCCGCAAAAAAAUCAGUCAAAAAAUCAAAAAAGACGAAAUUCAAUAAAAAUUUAAAAAAGAUUCAGCGGGUUGAAUUUGGUGCCCAAAAUUUCCAGAUCAAAAAUUCAAUAUAUAAGGACACUCCAGAUUUAAUUUCGUGAUUUUUGGAGAUCGGGAACACCUUGAACGAAGUUGUCAAGUUACUCCGCAGUUUUUCGGGUUUUUUGUUUUCAGCAAUUUUAUUGAUUCUUAGCUGUAGGUUUUCAUUUGUUUACCUUUAUUCUUCCUUUACGUUAUCUAACACCUUCUUGUUUCUUGUGUUAGUAGGAUUUAAACGUGUGCACAACUUCUUCCUCGGUGCAACACGAAUCAAUUGGUGUCUCGUCAGUUUUUGGCAUCCUAGUGCAAAUUAGGAUUCUUUGGUAGUUUGGUUCACACUCUCUAAUUGGUUGAUAUAAACUCUGAUAAAGAACUCACAAGAUUGAAUUCGACCUCAUUGAGAAUUUGAUUUUUCUUUUUGAGUGAUUAAUGGUGAGGUUUGCUAACUUUUAUUUUUGAGUGUUGAGUGUUUAUUUUUUAUAGGUUUUGAAGAUGUCUAAAUGUGAUAAUAAUGAUGCACUUAUGAAAGUCCAACAACAGUUAGACGAACAUACUGCUGCAAUCACACAAAUAAAUGCUACACUUCAAGCAUUGAAUACUACUUUGAAUGAGGUACGAAUGAAUCAAAAACAUCAAUAUCGAGAUCCAAUUAAGGAAGAUAGGGAUAACCAGCCCUAUAGGUGCAGCCCUCAACGUGUCCCUAGAAUGGAUGAUGAUUUUCAUGAUCGUGGACAAUCAUCUUUGGCAAAACCAAAGAGCGAGCAGCAACGAGAACAUCUCUUUCAUACUCGCUGCCAUGUACAAGGUAAGCUUUGUAGAGUUAUUAUUGAUGGUGAAAGUUGCUCGAACAUAGCCAGCACGACGAUGGUGGAAAAGCUUUGGUUAACCACUACCAAGCAUCCACAACCUUAUCAACUACAAGGGCUUAGCAACAAAGGCCAAUUUAGGGUCACUCAACAAGUGCGCAUCGCCUUUUCUAUCGGUAAGUAUCAAGACGAAGUUGUGUGUGACGUAAUGCCUAUUCAGGCCUGCCAUUUGUUGCUAGGAGAACCAUGGCAACUGGAUCGAAGAGUCACUCACGAUAGUCGUACCAAUAGGUAUUCUUUCAAGCAUCAAGGAAAGAAACUCACCUUAGUGCCGCUCACUCCGGAACAAGUCCAUGAGGACCAAAUCAAACUGAAAAAUUCUGUUAAAACAAGUGAGGAAAAAGAAAAAGAGAAUGAAAAAGAGCAAAAAGAGAUUGAGAGUGAAAAAGAAAUUGAAGAAAGAAGAGAAAAUGAAUUAGAAAAAGAAACAAAAGAAAAAGACGUGGAAAGGGUAGUGAGGAAUGUUUCCACUAACCAAGAUAUGAAUUUUUCUUGUGUUGCUACUUUUCAGGUUCCCGAAAGAUCGAAAGAUAACUUUCAACUUCAAUACCUCUCAAAUGAAAGACGCUUUCAUACGAUCAACUUAGGCAAAGAUGAAAUCACACUACAUGAUCCCGAAGGUAAGCGAGGUAAGGAAAUUUUAGAAACCGAGUCCAGUGCAGAUUUGAAAAUUAUUGAUCAAAAUUUUGGUGACUUAGUUCUUAAAAGAUCCCCUCAUUUUGAUCCGAUUAAUUGUUACUCUUCGGUUGUGGUUGAUAAAGUCAUUACGAAAAGAAGCGUGAUUUGUUAUUCUCUUGAUUUACCUUGUGUAAAAUCCUCGAAUUUGUCCAAAUCUAUUUUGGAGAAUAAGGUAACGAAAUUUUCCAAAUUUGUUUUCAAUUUAUAUUCGUGCCUUAAACAGUUUAUGUGGUUGUACAUGAAGUUUGAGUUCCAUUUGAAAAAGGUUAACUCAAAAAUAGAGAUUCGACUACACUAUGCCCCCGAUGAGCGAAGGUUUGUUUUAAAUGAAAAAGGUAAAAUCGACCAUUAUUCUUUUGCUUAUCAAGGUAAGAUGCUUGAAACCUUUGAAACACUUUUGUACUCCUCGGAUAGCGACAAAGAUCGUAUUGAUGAACACUUAGAUCGAAACGUGCUUGACUGUCCUAUUUUAUUUAUUGAUGAUAAAUCUAUUUUGAUGGUUGACAAAAAGAUUCUUGUUUUUGAUAAUGCAUGUGUGAGUGAAUCUAUAGACCGUCGAUUAAUGCAUGGUAAUCUGAAUCUAUCCAUUCACAUGCGUUAUACCUGUUCUAUUAUGCUUAUAAUUGGCCUACAAGCUUGUUUGUGUUGCUAUUUACUAUUUCAUGGCUAUUCCUUUCAGUGGACUCAAUUGCCAUUAGUCCCGUUCGAUCGAGGAAAAUCGAGUUCAUUUGAUUUUUAGAUUCGAGGACGAAUCUUUUUGAGGAAGGAGGGAAUGAUACGAGUCACAAAGGCCCAACCCAAGCUUAAGAAGGUGAUGGGCUCAAAUCAAGAAAAUCAAGAUUCACUUUCUUGUUUUCAAGAAAAUCAAGAAAUCGAAUCUUGGCCCAAUUUUGCUGUUCGGAGCGAUUUCAAGAAUCAAGAAAAUCAAGAUUUCAAAUCUUGGAAAUCUUGGUCCAAGAAACCGAAUCUUGCAGCCAAAGCGCGUUGGAUCUCCAUUACGAGCGUCAACGACCCAAUUUUGGUAGGAGAUGGAUCACGAGCCCAAAUUCUUGAAGGCGAGGCCCAAUAACCAAAAUCCAGCCCAAUCAAGAAAUUUCUUCAUACUUAGUUGAAAAGUCAGGCCAAAAUGUCAAAGGGCCCAAUUUGUAAACAUCUUACUUGUUUAAUUUAAUUUUUUAAUCUUUAGGAGCAUUACAUGUAAAAUUCGGCCCAAAACAGCCCAUAUAAGUGCAUGGCUGAAUUUACCUUGUUUUUUUAUUAAUUAGGUUUAAUUUUUUUAUUAGUUACUUGUGAGAUUAGGAUUUGUUGGAGGCCUAUAUAAGCAUUGGCCAACCACCCUUUGUAAAAACAUCUCAUUAUUAUUUUUUUCUAUCAAAUUUCAGAUUUGUUGAGUGCAGAAUUUUCUUUGGGGUUUUCUCCAAGAAUUCUCUCUUGAGUUUUCUUUAGAAGUUGUUUUAACAAUCUUUUGAUUGUGGGAGCCAUCUUCAACCUUCUUCUUGCCAUCGAUAUUCCUUGGAGGGGAGAUUAGAGCCGUUUGAAGGAAUUUGUGAAUUCUUUCGGGAAUUCAAGGGUUCUUAGGACUUUUCUUUAUUUCUUGCUGUUUCGAUUUGUUUCUUUAUUCCUACUUGUGCCGAUUCAUCAUCUAAUAAUUUGCUGUUCUUGUUUGUGUUUCAGCCUUGAUUCAAACUCCAAGAACUCUUCAUUUAAUCGGUUCUUUUAUUGGCAACAUAUAAUCGACUCAAAAUUCCCCAAAAUUUAGGGUUCUUGCCGUUUUCUAUUUCUUCUUGUUGGGUGAAAUUCGGCUGCUGAAAUUUGGGCAAUUCAUAUUGGGUGUUCNNNNNNNNNNNNNNNNNNNNNNNNNNNNNNNNNNNNNNNNNNNNNNNNNNNNNNNNNNNNNNNNNNNNNNNNNNNNNNNNNNNNNNNNNNNNNNNNNNNNNNNNNNNNNNNNNNNNNNNNNNNNNNNNNNNNNNNNNNNNNNNNNNNNNNNNNNNNNNNNNNNNNNNNNNNNNNNNNNNNNNNNNNNNNNNNNNNNNNNNNNNNNNNNNNNNNNNNNNNNNNNNNNNNNNNNNNNNNNNNNNNNNNNNNNNNNNNNNNNNNNNNNNNNNNNNNNNNNNNNNNNNNNNNNNNNNNNNNNNNNNNNNNNNNNNNNNNNNNNNNNNNNNNNNNNNNNNNNNNNNNNNNNNNNNNNNNNNNNNNNNNNNNNNNNNNNNNNNNNNNNNNNNNNNNNNNNNNNNNNNNNNNNNNNNNNNNNNNNNNNNNNNNNNNNNNNNNNNNNNNNNNNNNNNNNNNNNNNNNNNNNNNNNNNNNNNNNNNNNNNNNNNNNNNNNNNNNNNNNNAUCUCUUACUGUACUGUUCAUAUGAUUGUUUCGUUACUUUCAUAUGAAAGUAGAUUCAUCAAGGUUCGAUUACAUAAUUUAUUCACUAUUUAAUUCCACUCGUACGAAUUCUUGUGAUUUUUCCAAUCCACACCACUGCUGCUGUCAGCCUCUGUUUUCAGAGUAAGCCUUACCUAUUUUCGGGGUUUCAUGGACCAACUAGGGCCUUGUCACACAUAUGCCCACAUAUGAUCAUACUUAGCCAUUCCAAUGGCUGAUCAUUUGCUCAACACUUCCAUUCCAACUAUAGUUACAUCAUGAAACCAUCUAUACAUUCAUAAACACGAAUGGUCUAAUGCCAUACUCCACUUCUACAAGCCAUUUUCGCAUGGCUGUACACUUAUACAUUUCAUAAAGUACUCGAAAAACAACAAUGGGUAGUCCUAUACAUGCCAUAUCAAAAUCCAACCAAAAUAGUUCCCAAAGAGCCUUUGAUAGUGUGGACGACUUCGACUUCAAGAUCCCGAGUCCGAUAGCUGGAGAACCAAAAAUCUAUAAAACAGAGGAGCAGUGUAACGAGUAAGCAAUUUAUGCUUAGUAAGUUUUGAGCAAGGAAUUCCAGCAUAAACAAAGUAUAACACACAUUUAGCUAAACGGAAUAUUUCAUAAUACGCAAUUUACCGAUAUCAAACUUGCUUCACAACAUAAACAACCAUUAUGUACAUACACAAUAGACUAACUUAGCCGAAGGCCGGUAGCUCGUUUAUCAACUGAGCGAACAUUUAUUUGUACGGGCUCGACUAAAUUCAACACAUACGUAACAUAUCCCCAUAUUGGGAUGUUUUUCGUGUAUUCGCUGGAAUUUUACAGCAAGCUCAUUCAUUACCAAAUCACAUACCUUCGGGAUUUAACCGGAUAUAGCUCCUCGUUCAAAUGCCUUCGGGACAUAGCCCGGUUUUAGUAACUCACACAAUGCCUUCGGGACUUAACCCGGAUUUAAUAACUCGCACGAAUGCCUUCGGGACUUAACCCGGAUUUAGUAUCUCGCACAAAGGCCUUCGGGGCUUAACCCGGAACUUGUAUCUCGCACAAAUGCCUUCGAAUCUUAGUCCGGAUAUAUUCACUUAGCACAAAGCCUUCGGGACUUAGCCCGGACAACAUUCAAUUAAUCAUGCACAUCUAACAAUAAUUCAUGGCACAUUCAUAUUUCAUUUUCAUUUGCGAAACUCAAACACAAGGCACAUAUCGUCCUUACACAUUCGGCUCAAUAGCCACACAUAGAGCAUGAUUUUAAUUUGCUUAAAACAUGAUUUAAUCACAUCGUAAUUUAAGCUCUCUUACUCAAGAACUUACCUCGGGUGUUGUCGAACGAUUCCGCUAACUAUUCGACCACUUUUUCCUUCCCUUUAUCGGAUUUAUUUCCCCUUUGCUCUUGAGCUUAAUUAAACAAAUAAAUUGAUUUCAUCAUUUAGGCAUCAAAAAGAUGAACACAAGGCACUUAGCCCAUAUUUAUACAUUAGACAUUAAAGUCUCGUACAUGCAAAAAAAAUCAUGCAUCAACACAACAUAUUAGCUAAUUUCUUUCCCCUUGGCCGAAUAUGCAUGUCUAUUUUUGGGGUCGAUUUCAACACUUAAUACACACAUAUACACACUAGUAAAGCAUCCUCCCCCUUUUCAUCAAUUUAACACAUGCAUUGCUCAUUAACAUGCAAAGUUACAUUCGGCCUUAGCACACAUCUUGCUAGCCGAUUCUUCUCCAUUUAGCAAUCAAUGCACAUAUGUGCUCACACAAAAAUGCUAAAAAAGAGGUUCAAAAAUCAUCAAGCCAUCAUCACAUGCAUCAUUAACAAGCUUCAUAUUUUGCAUGCAAUGGCAUUAACACGACCUCCACCUAGGCCGAAUCUUAACUCAUCCUCAUGCCUCAUCACCACAACAUCAAACAUCAACCAAGAAUGAUGCAUCCAUGGUCAAGUGCCAUUUCCAUCACAUAGCAAGAUUUAGACCAUGGGCUAGGUAGAACUCAAGCUAACAACUAAAACAUGCAUCCAUCUCAUGGAACAUCAUCAAACAUACCUUAGCCUAGCUACAUGCAUGGCCGAAUCUCUUCACCUUUCUUCUUCUUUCCUCCUUAAAAUUUUUGGCCAAGGAUGAACCAAAGGAUGAGAAAUUUUUUUCUUUGUUUUUCUUUCUAAUUUAGGCUAAAUGAAGGUGAGAAAAGGAUGAACAAAGAUCUUCUCCUCUCUUUUUUUUAGCUCACGGCCAUGGGGGGGGGAAAAGAAUCAACUACACACUUUUUUUUUGUGUAUUCAUCAUGCUCCUUUUCAUUAUUUAAUUUCCAUGCCUAUUAUUUUAUUUUUUUCCUACAUACCUCACUAGGCCAACAUGUUCCCAACAUGUUUCCACCCAUAGCAUGGCCAACCACUAGCUCAAAUUUUGGGUAAUUUGACAUGCAAACCCAUCAUUUUCACAACAUGCAUUAAUAGACCAUUUUAAAUUAGCCUAUCAUAUUUUCACCAUGUCUCAUAUCAAUCCCUAUUUAAUAAUUUCUCAUGCAAUUGGCAAAAUUGGAGAAUGAAACUUCCACAUACUCAUGUACACACAUAAUAAGCAUAGAAUAUGGAAAUCAAUUAUUUUUAUGACUCGGUUUUGUGGUCCCGAAACCACUUCCCGACUAGGGUCAAUUUUGGGCUGUCACAUGGUUGAUAGAGGGUGACCAAAGGCUUGGAAAAUAGCCCUACAAGGUCCACACAGGUAGACACACGGGCGUGUGUCUAGGCCAUGUGGUGCCAAAGGAAAUCAUCACUUGGAAAUUUUUCCAAGAAGAGUUUAAGAAGAAAUACAUCAGUCAAAGGUUCUUAGACUCAAAACAAAAGGAGUUCUUGGAACUCAAGCAAGGAAAUAACACUGUAGCGGAAUACAAAAAGGAGUUUGUAAGGCUAAGUCAGUAUGCCACUGAAUGGGUUCAAACUGAGUCAAAAAUGUGCAAACAUUUUGAGAAAGGUCUAAAUGAGGAAAUCAAGCUGUUGAUUGGGAUUCUUAAGAUACUGGAGUUCGCCGCAUUAGCUGAUCAGGCCAAGAGGGCCAAUGAGCUCAAUAAUGAAAGAAAACAAGAAAAGAGAGAGGUUUGAGUUUUGGGCAAGAGAUCCAGCGGUAAGACACUCUCGAUUCCUACAAAGAAAUCAAGCAACCAACAUGAACGCUCCAUUUCAUCGGUAGGAUUUUGGGUAGAACGAGAGGCUCCAAACGACGAAAUAAGAAAUCUUCCUCCCCGAUGGUAACUAGUGUGGGGAGUGUAGAUGACCAAAAGCCAAAGUGUAAAAGCUGCAACAAAUUUCAAUCCGAAAAGUACCGAAUGGAGAGUGGUGCAUGUUUCAGAUGUGGUUCUCUUGAUCACUUCCUCAAGGACUGCCUAGAGUGGAAUAAAAAAGAACUGGAAGUAGCCCCGAAGUCAUGUGCUCCCAUUGCACGAGGUAGACCUCCUAGAUAUCUUGGAAUUGCUAGUGGUAGUCGAGCUGUGGCUAAAGACACUGCAAAAUCAGAGGCUUGAGCUCCGGUAAGAACUUAUGCAAUACGCGCUCAAGAGGAAGCCUCUACUCCUGAUGUUAUUACGGGUACUUUUUCUCUUUUUAAUACAAGUGUUGUUGCCUUAAUUGAUCUGGGGUCGACACAUUCAUACAUUUGCAUGAGAUUGGUGUCUAGUAUGAACAUACCCAUUGAACCUACGAAAUUUAUUAUUAGAGUGUCGAACCCAUUAGGCAAAUCAGUCCUGAUUGAUAAAGUCAAUAAGAAUUGUCCUUUGACGAUUCAUGGUCAAUGCUUUCCGGCUAACCUUAUGUUGUUACCAUUUGAUGAGUUUGAUGUAAUACUUGGUAUGGAUUGGUUAACCCUGCAUGAUGUAGUUGUCAACUGUGGUAGCAAGUAUAUUGAAUUGACAUGCUCAUAGGUGAGAUUUUGUGGGUUGAUUCAACAAAAUUUGGUACGCCACCGGUUGUAAUCAUAGUGAUGGUUUUUCAAAGAUAUAUGAGAAAAGGGUAUGAAGCCUACCUUGCUUUUGUAUUGAACACUAAGGAAACGGAGUUGAAGAUUGAGUAUGUGCCAAUAGUAUGUGACUUUAUUACUCCGUACAGGAUGGCGCCAACCGAGCUAAAAGAGUUAAAAGCACAGUUGCAAGAGUUGACGGAUAAAGGUUUUGCAAGGCUAAGCUUUUCACCUUGGGGUGCUCCCAUAUUGUUUGUAAAGAAGAAAGAUGGUUCAUUAAGGCUAUGUAUAGAUUAUCGGCAGUUGAACAAGGUAACUAUCAAGAAUGAGUAUCCUUUGCCAAGGAUCGAUGACUUGUUCGACUAGUUGAGAGGAGUCACUAUGUUCUCUAAGAUAAACUUGAGGUCCGGCAACUAUCAGUUGCGAGUUAAGGAAUCGAAUGUGCCUAAGAAAACUUUCAAAACGAGGAACGGCCACUAUGAAUUUCUUGUCAUGCCGUUUGGGUUAACAAAUGCACCGGUCAUAUUCAUGGACCUAAUGAAUAGAAUCUUUCAGAUGUACUUGGAUAAGUUCAUCGUUUUGUUCAUUGACUACAUUUUGAUUUAUUCCAAAGAUGAGACAGAGUAUGCGAAGCAUCUGAGAAUUGUGUUGCAGACCUUACAGGAAAAACAACUGUAUGCUAAUUUUAGCAAUAGUGAGUUUUGGCUCCAAGAAGUUGGGUUUUUGGGUCAUAUUGUUUAGGGUGAAGGCAUUCGAGUUGAUCCAAGUAAGAUCUCUGCUAUUGUUGAAUGGAAAUCGCUUAAAAAUGUAACCGAGGUUAGAAACUUUUUGGGUUUAGCUGGUUACUACUGAAGAUUUGUGAAAGGAUUCUCCAUGAUUGCGACUCCAAUGACGAGGUUGCUACAGAAAGACGUUAAGUUUGAAUGGACAGAAAAGUGUCAGCAGAUUUUCGAGAGGUUAAAGACAUUGCUGACUGAAGCCCCUGUUUUAGUGUUACUUGUGCCAGGAAUAGAGUUUGUGGUCUACACUCAUGCAUCCUUAAAUGGAUUGGGUUGUGUACUUAUGCAAGAUGGCAAGGUGAUAGCCUAUGCUUCACCGCAGUUGAAGCCACACGAGAAAAACUAUCCGACUCAUGAUCUAGAGCUUGCCGCCAUUGUUUUGGCCUUGAAAAUUUGGAGGCAUUAUUUAUAUGGAGAGACUUGUCAUAUAUUUAUCGACCAUAAGAGUUUGAAGUAUUUGAUGACUCAAAAAGAAUUGAAUUUGAGAUAGCAGAGAUGGUUAGAAUUAAUUAAAGAUUAUGAGCUGAUCAUUGACUAUCACUCGGGAAAGGCGAAUGUGGUCGCCAAAGCGUUAAGCAGAAAAUCCUUGUUCCCACUGAGAGCCAUGGAUGCUCGAUUAGCAUUGCUUGAUGAUGAUUUAGUUUUGGUAGAGCUAGAAGCUAGGCAGACAUUUCUACAGGAAAAUUUAUGAUGCUCAAACUAAUGACAGCGACUUACAAGCUAAAAGAAUUCAAUGUUAGUCGGGCAUUAAAUCAGAUUUUCAAAUCGGUCCUGAUGGAUGUUUAAUGUUCAGAGAGAGGGUUUGUGUACCCAAAGAUGAUGAGCUUAUUUGGAAAAUCUUACAAGAAACACAUGAUAACCAUUUUUCUAUUCAUCCGGGAAGUACCAAGAUGUACAAUAAUUUGAAGAAAAUGUACUGGUGGAACGGCAUGAAAAGAAACAUUUCCAAAUUUGUAUCGAAAUUCUUGAUAUUUCAGCAAGUCAAAGCUAAACAUUAAGUACCUUCAGGUUUGUUACAGCCUGUGAUGGUCCCCGAAUGGAAGUGGGACAAAGUUACUAUGGAUUUUGUGACAGGUUUGCCAUUGACCCCGAAAAAGAAAGAGCUAUAUGGGUUGUGGUGGAUAAGUUGUCAAAGUCGUCUCAUUUCAUUCCAGUAAGAAUAGAUUACUCUCUUGAUAGAUUGGCCGACUUGUAUAUAUCUGAAAUUGUGAGAUUACAUGGAGUACGACUGUCAAUUAUUUCAGACAGAGACCCGAGAUUCACUUUAAGAUUCUGAAAGAAGUUAUAAGAAGCCUUGGGUAGAAAGUUGAGCUUUAGUACAGCUUUUCACCCACAGACCAGUGGUCAGUCUAAGCAAACGGUUCAGAUCCUUGAAGAUAUGUUGCGAUAUUGUAUCCUAGAAUUUUAAGGUAGUUGGGAAAAAUAUUUACCAUUGGUAGAAUUUGCCUACAACAACAAUUUUCAAAUGAGUUUGAAGAUGGCAACUUAUAAGGCAUUGUAUGGCAGAAAGUUCUGAACUCCAUUGUAUUGGACAGAACUCAAGGAAAGUCAGAUUCACGGGGUUGAUCCGAUCAAGGAAACUGAAGAAAAAGUUAAAGUAAUACGAGACUGUUUAAAAGCGGCAUUAGAUAGGCAAAAGUCAUAUGAUGAUUUGAAAAUAAAAGAGAUUGAGUUCCAAUUUGGAGAUUGAGUAUUCUUGAAAGUAUCUCCAUGAAAAAAAGUAUUGAGAUUUGGCUAGAAAGGCAAACUGAGUCUACGAUUUAUAGGACUCUACGAGAUCAUUGAAAGAGUUAGACCAUUAGCCUAUUGAUCUGCAUUGCCACCCGAAUUGGAAAGAUUCACGACAUGUUUCAUGUAUCCAUGUUAAGGAGAUAUCAAUCAGACCCCUCUCAUGUGAUUUCACCGGCAGAGAUUGAGAUUAGACCGGAUAUGGCUUAUGGCGAGGAACCUGUCAAGAUUUUAGUUCGUGAAAUUAAACAUUUGAGAAAUAAAGAUGUUACUUUGCAAAGGUUUUAUGGCAUCGACACGGUGUGGAAGAAGCUACAUGGGAAGCAGAAGAAACCAUGAGAAGCGAAUAUCCACACCUGUUUACUGGUAAGACUUUUGAAGACGAAAGUCCCUAAGGGGGGAGAAAUGAACAUCCCGAAAUAGGCUAGUCGGAACAGUGGUUUUGGGACAAAAAAUCCGACAUCAAAAUAUUUAAUUUAUGAUUAUUAUAAGGUCUAGAAUAUGAGAAUAUGCAUGUGUUUAAGUUUCAUGAAGGAAUUCUUUUAGUAAGGUGUCCACUUGGACAUUAAGGACCAAAUGGAAUAAAUUGUGAAACUUGGGUUUUAGAAGAAAUUUGUAUGAAAUUGCUUUAGAAUAUUAAUUAGAAGGUCUUGAGGAGCAAUUUUCCCAAUUUUCAUGUUUUUGGGCAAAAAUAGGCUUGUAUGGAUGAAAUUUUAAAGAAAGGGCCUAAGGGCAUUUUGGUCAUUUGGCAAUUUAAUGAAAUAAAAUGGGAAAAAAAAGGCAAAAAUCAGCCAUUCUUUUUCCUUGUCCAACCGAAAUUCUCAAGUCACCAUAGCUAGGGUUUUCAAAAUUUUCAAGCUUAAUAAUAAGUGCUCCUAAGCCCCGUUUUUAAUGUUCUUCGUAUUUUUAAAAUCCUGGUAGCUUACUCUCUCAAUUUUUACCCAUAUUUCAUGAUAGGGUUCAUGUUUAGAAAUUUACCCAUGCAUGAGUUACUUGAAUUUUGAUGGUUUAUGGAGGAAUAUGGAUGUGUUAAACAUCGUUUCCUAGGUGAUUUUCAUGGAAAACCCUAAAAAGGACCUUUUUGCAAAAGGUGUAAAAUGUGAGGUAGAAAUGUGAAAUAAUUGAAAAAUGUGGGCUGCCAUAAGAGGAAAGAACAUUUGAUUAGGCUUGGGUAAUAUAGAAAUUGCAUGGAUUCCAUUAUACGAGCCUAGGGACUAAAUCGUAAAAAUGUGAAAGGUUAGGGGCAAAACGAUCAUUUGGACCGUGGGUGAAAUGUAGACUCAAAAAGUACAAUGCGAGCUGUUAAUGAUUUAUUUUUAUUGUUAUAGACCUCGAGGAACAAAUUUCAGAGGUCGAUCGAGGAAAACGAAAGGUUUUGGAAUAACUGAAACACAAUACCGAGACGAGUACCAAGUAAGUUCAAAUAACUUAAAUUAAACUCAUAGUAUGCUUAGUUGCAUGAUUUAUGAAUGUAUGGUAAUUGCAUUUGAUGACGGCAUGAAAAUCUAUGAAAUAUAUCCUUAAUAAUGACAUGUUGAUAAAUGUCCCGGUUGAGGUUGAAAAGGAAAUCUGAUGGAUAAACCAUAGCUUACAUGACCUGAGAUCCUGCAUGUGUUGCAGAAAGGAUUUAGCCCAGACGGGUGUUCCGUAAGUGAUCGAGCCUCCCGAAGAAUAUGUGUGCGAUGUUGAUUUAGCCUAGACGGGUAAUCCAAUUAGGGUCUGAAUUUAGCCUGGAAUGGUAAUUCAGAUCUGAGCUCAAUAAGGGUGUUUGUCGCUAUAAGGGAUUUAGCCUCGACUGGUAAUCUCGACUUCACCUUAUGAGUUUACGAUGCGGGGGAUUUAGCCUGGACUGGUAAUCUCGCCGUAAGAUGUGAGAUUCACGGGAGUGCAUACUUGAAAUGAUCAUUCUUAUGACUUGACAGAUAAUGGAUAAUCUAUCGAGAUUUCCUAGAAACUCAACGGGAUUAAUAUGAUGUAUAUAAAUGAAAUGAUGAAUGAUGAGCUCAUCUAAGACAAAUUACAUGGUGCAUUAUUAUUGUGACUAACUUGUUGAUUGAAUGCAUGUGAUAGGGAAACUAUUUCAUUUUUGUUGGUUUAUUUGCUUAAUAUGGUUGUAUGCUAAUUAAUCAGUAAGUUUACUUUCUAGUUAAUUGGGCUUACUAAGCAUGUAAAUGCUUACCUCUCUCUCUUUCCUGUCUUACAAAGCUCAAUGACUCAUAAAGAUUGGAAGACGGUUAGAGAGUCAACGUACUAUCAACUAGUCCAGCUUUGGUAUAUAGGCACUUUUAUUUUGUUCAAUGACAUGUAUAGGGCUCUUGGUUUAUUUUGUUAGAUAUGUCAUUUGAUUAGCCAUAAUGAAGACAUGUAAAGAUAUACACAUCUAUUUGUAUAUGGCCAUGGGAAUUGGCUCAUUUUGGAGUAGGCUAUGACCUACAAAUCUAUGAUUGUUUAUGUUUACAAGAGAUGGCUUGACUGUAAUUGGCAAUGAGUUAUAAGAAUGAGCCAAUCUUAAAUGUGUCAAUGAGACAUAGAAACCCUUAAUACGAAAAGGGAAUUAACCUAGCAUGUAUAAAACCGAUGAUAUGAGGUUUACGUGUAAUGAGGUUUAUCAAGGUUAUAUGUAAGUGUAUAAUCUGGCCUUAUUAUGCAUUAAGAUAACCUAUAAGUGUGAGUGGUUGAUAGAGGGUGACCAAAGGCUUGGAAAAUAGCCCUACAAGGUCCACACAGGUAGACACACGGGCGUGUGUCUAGGCCAUGUGUGACACAUGGACCACCCUCAUGGGCGUGUGGUGUAACACCCCUCGCCCGUAUCCAAUGCCGGGACAGGGUUCGAGGUGCUACUGGACUUAACUCAAGCAUAUGCAUAUAAAAUCACACCAUAAAUUUCUUUUAACUUGAAACUUCUUGUUCACAUGCAUUAUCUCCCUUGAACAGGUUCACGAGGCCCAAAACAUACAUUAGAAACGGUUCGGGAUUAAACCGUGAACUUAAGAAAAACUUGGAAAAUUCAUGUUUUAAGGCUCCACACGCCCGUGUGGGUAUAGACGUGUGGUCACACACGCCCGUGAGGCUUGGGACACUCCCAUGCCCUUAGUCCAUGUGCAGCACUGACUUUCAAACAUGGCCAUGGCACACGCUUGUGUGGCCUGCCCGUGUACAACAGUGUCUUUAAAACACGUCCAUGGCACACGCCCGUAUGGCCUGCCCGUAUACAACACCGACUUAAAAUUUUAAGUGCAGGGGGACACACGACCAAAACACACACCCAUGGAAGUGAGCCGUGUGUCACACACGACCUAGACACACGCCCGUGUGUCCAACCAUGUGGACCCUAAUAGGCUAUUUUCCAAUCUUUUGGUCACCCUUUUCACCACUUAUACUUAAUGGUUACCAAAUACAAAGCAAAACGUGAUUAUACUCUUAUAAAUGAUCUUGGCAAAACUUAUUGCAUGGAAAUCUCAUAUCAUUGGUUUCAUACAUGCUAGAUUAUUUUCCCAUCUUGUAUUUAUGGUUUUCCAUGCCAUUAUAACACAUUCAAAAUUGGCUUGUUCUUGUGACUCAUUGCCAAUUAUAAACAAACCAUCACAUAUGAAUAUAAACAUGCAUAUAAUUAUAGGUCAUAGCCUUCUUCAAAAUAAGCCAAUUUCCAUGGCCCUAUACAAAAAGAUAGGUAUAUCUUUACAUGCCUUCAUUUCACGAAUCAAAUGACACAUAUAAACAAAUACUCAAAGGUCCUAUACAUGCCAUUGAACAAAACAGAAAUGUCUUUAUACCAUAGCUAGUCUAUUUGAUAGUGUGCUAGCUCUCCAACCGUCUUCCAAUCCUUACGAGUCCUUGAGCUCUGAAAAGCAGGGAAAAAAGAGGAGUAAGCAUUUACAUGCUUAGUAAGCAAUCAGAAAGUAAACUUACCAAGUAAUUAGCAUACAUCCAUAAUAGAUAAGGAAACCAACAAGUAUGAAAUGGUUCCCUAUCACAUGCACUCAACCAAUGAGUUAGUCACAUAACAAAGCACCAUAUAAUUUAUCUUAGAUGAGCUCAUCGUUCAACAUUUUAUUUUGUAGAUGUAUUUCAUGUUAAUCCCAUUGAGUGUCUAGGAAAUUGUAACACCCCGUACCCGAGACCGUUGCCGGAGUCGGACACGAGGGGUUAACAGACUUAAUUCCGUUAUUUUUACAGUCCAUUUUAAAAAUUUCCAGACUAGCUGGCUAACUGCAUCACUGUCACCUUAAAAAUAAUAUCUUGAGUUCCAAAACUCGAAAGUCAGUUUUGUAAAUUUUCCAUGAAACUAGACUCAUAUAUCCAUCUAAAAAUUUUUUCUAGAAUUUUUGGUCAGGCCAAUUAGUACAGUUUAUUAGUUAAAGUCUCCCCUGUUUCAGGGUUCGACUGCUCUGACCUUCAUGCAUUACGACUUAUAUAUCUCCCUGUACAGGGCUUCAAUACUUAUGCCGUUUGUUUCUAAAGAAACUACACUCGAAAAGGAAUCUAUACAUAUAUGGCAUGACUUCUAACUAUCUCUGGUUAAUUUAUAAAUAAUUUCCUAAGUCCGAACAGGGAAUCCAGAAACUGCUCUGGCCCUGUUUCACGAAAACUUUAAAAUAUCAUAAAAUACUAUUCAUAUGAUCGUUUCAUUACUUCCCUAUGAAAUUAGAUUCAUCAAGGUUCAAUUAAAUAAUUUAUUCACUAUUUAAUUCAAUUCUUACUAUUUUUAGUGAUUUUUCAAAUCCACACCACUGCUGCUGUCAGCAUCUGUUUUUAAGGUAAACCUUACCUAUUUCAUGGUUUUCCAUGAAUCAAUUAGAGUUUGUCAUACAUAGCAUCAAAAUAAUCAUAAUUAACCAUUCCCAAUGGCUAAUCGUUACCAAACAUUUCCAUACCUCUCAAUGAACAACAUACAAGACGAUUAUAAUGCUAUGCUCAAAGUGUAUAUAAGCCAUUUUCGCAUGGCUAUCCAAAUUUAUACAAAACCAAAGGGUACAUGACCAACAACAAAAAGGGUAGUCCUAUACAUGCCAUUUUCAGAGUUCAACCAAAAGUGUACCAAAAGGGCUUUGAUAGUGUGGAUGAAUUUAGCUUCGACAAUCCCGAGCCCGAUAGCUGACGAACCAAAAUCUAUAAAACAGAGAUUCAAAGAACGGAGUAAGCAUUUAAUGCUUAGUAAGUUUUGAGCAAUGAAAUCAUGCACAACUGAAGUAUAGCAUUCAUACGACUAAACGAAUAAUUUCAUAUACACAUAUUCUCACAAUCAUACCUACUUCACAUUUCCAACCCUUAUAUUCAUACGUAAGGAAUCAACUUGUCUAAAAGCCGGAAGCUUGUUAGUUGAUUGAGCAAAUACUAUUUAGAAGGAAUCAAUUAUCUCAAUGCACAUACGAAACAUACCUCAUCGUUGGGAUUUUAAGAGCGUAUUAAUGGAAAUUAUUACAGCAAGAUCGCUCAUUCCCAAACCCAAUUAUCUUCGGGAUUUAGCUGGAUAUAACCACUCGCACAAGGCCGUCAGGUCAUAGCCCGGAUAUAGCUACUCGCUCACAUGCCUUCGGGACUUAGCCCAGUUAUAGUAACUCGCACAAUUGCCUUCGGGACUUAGCCCGGUUAUAGUAACUCGCACAAUUGCCUUCGGGACUUGGCCCGGUUAUAGUAACUCGCACAAAUGCCUUCGGGACUUAGCCCGGAUAUAGUAACUCGCACAAAUGCCUUCGGGCUUAGCCCGGUUAUCAAUCCGAAUAUCCAUGCACAUAUCAAUAAAUCAUGACACAUCAAUAUUUCAUUUUCUUAACUAGAAUUCAAACACAAGUCACUUAUCAAGCAUUAUCAUUUUCAGCUCAAAAGCUACAUACAAAGGGCAUGAUUUUGAUUUGCUUAUAACAUAAUCUAAUCGAAUCAUAAUCUAAGUUUCAUUACUCAAAAACUUACCUCGGAUGUUGUCGAACGAUUUCGACGGCUAUUCGAUCACUUUUUCCUUUCCCUUAUCCAACUUUGGUCCUUUAAGCUCUUGAGCUAAUUCAAACAAAUUUAACUUAUUAAAGUCUCAUUAUGCUAGCUUAUGGCCGAAUAUGACAAUGAAUUUGAUAGGUCAUAUGGCCACCUUUAGCUCAAAUACAAAAUGGUCAUAAGCAUCUUUAAUCACAUUGAGCAAUUUAAUACAAUUAAUCUAACAUUUCCUCAUGUGCACUUUUAUGACCGAAUACACACAUCAUUGACCUAAUAUCAAUUAACUAAGCACUUAACAAAUUCUCCUUGAGCCGAUUAUCUAAGUCAAGAUAAAAGCAUCAAUAUGCUUGCCCCUAACCGAAUACAUGCAACACCAAUCUAUCUCAUGUGGCCGAAUAUGCAUGUCUAUGUUGAGGCCAAUAUAUGCUUAAUACUUCCUACAAAUAUGGUUACUUGUAUUGACUACAUACCAUUUUCUUUCAAAUUCAAAACUCGGCUCAUACACAUAUAUGCAUUAGUAAUCAAAUACUAACAUUUGCACUUCACCUUACUACCAUUUCUCAUCCAAAUAACAUGAGCAACAACCAUUUUUCUCUUCUACUUCCUACCAUGGCCGAAUGCAUCAAGACACCAUACCAUUUCAAUUUUGGUCAUGGUUUAAACAAAGAACUUAAGGUCUAACUCAAAAAAAAAGAAUGCUAAAAAAAAAAUAAAAUCCAAGAGUCAUCAAUCCACCAUCACAUGUAUCAUUACAAAGCUUCAUAUUUAGCAUGCAAAUGACAUCAACACAAAUCCACCUUAGCCAAAUCUUAGCUCAUCUUCAUCACACAGCAAAUAUUUAAACCAUGGGCUAGGUAGAACUCAAGCUAACAACUAAAAACAUGCAUGAAUCUCAUGGAACAACAUCAAACAUACCUCCUCCUAAAACACCAACCAACCAAACAUGAAGCAAGAAGACUCCUUUCUUCUUCCUUUGAUUUUUCGGUCAAGAAGGACAAGGAGGAUGAAGCCUUUUUUUUUUCUCUUUUUUUUUCUUCUAGGUAUGGCACAAUGGGGGAACAACCACACACAAUUUUUUUUUGUUUCUCCUACUACUAACACUAAUAUUUUAUUGCCCAUGUUCUUUAUUUUAUUAUUCCUAACAUAAAGCAUUAACCCAACAUGUUUAUGACAUGUUUUAGCCAUAACAUUUUGUCCACCCUCAUGCUCAUGGCCGGCCACUACUAAUUAGGGGGGAAAUUGACAUGCAAGUCCUCCCUUUUGAUUUCAUGCACUAAUUGAUCCUUAUAGAUUAACCUAUCACAUUUCAAAAGUGUCACACAUAAGUCCUAUUGACUAAAUUCACAUGCAAUUUACUAAAUCGAAGCUUAAAACUUUCACACAUUCAUAUUCACAUAUUUUAGACAAUAAAUAUCAUAUUCAAAUAAUUUGGUGACUCGGUUUAGCGGUCCCGAAACCGCUUUCCGACUAGGGUCACUUUAGGGCUGUCAAAGAAAUCUUGAUGGAAUAUCCAUUAACCAUCAAUUCAUAAGGAUGACCAUUUCAGGUGUGCACUCCCGCGAAUCUCACAUCUUUUGCCAGGAUUACCAGCCCAGGCUAAAUCCUCAUAUCGUAAUCUCAUAAGGUGAUGUUGGGAUUACCAGUCCAGGAUAAAUCCCCCAUAUCGUAAUCUCAUAAGGUGAUGUCGGGAUUACUAGUCCAGGCUAAAUCCCUUAUUGCGAUAAACACCUUUAAUGAGCUCGGAUCUGAAUUACCAGUCCAGGCUAAAUUCAAACCCUAAUCAGAUUACCCGUCCGGGCUAAAUCCAUAAUGCACAUGUAUUCUUCAGGAGGCUCAAUCAUCCAAAGGAACACCCGUUUGGGCUAGAUUGUUUUCAUAAUUGAGAUUAGCGGACUACCCAACUGGGCUAAAUCCUUUCCACAACACAUGCAGGAUCUCAUUACACAUGUAAAACAUGAUUUAUCCAUCGAAUUCGCUUUUUAACCUCAACCGAGACAAUUUUUCACCACAUCAUUAUUAGGAAUUCAUUUCAUGUAAUUUUAUGCCAUCAAUAAAUGCCAUCAUCAUUCAUUCACAAGUCAUAAUCAUAUAAUUAGGCAUAUUAGGAGCUUACUUUAAGUUAUCCGAACUUACCUGGUAUUCGUUUCGAUGCUGUGUUUCGAUUAUUUCGAAACCUUUCAUUUUCCUCAAUCGACCUUCGGAAUUUGUUCCUCGAGGUCUAUUACAACAAAAUUAAAUCAUUAUCACUCCAUAUUAUACAUUUCAAGUUUAAAUUCCACCCCCGGUCCAAAUGACCGUGUUGCCCCUAACAUUUCAUAUUUUUAUGAUUUAGUCCCUAGGCUCGUAUAGUAAAACACAUGCAAUUUCUAUCUUACCCAAGCCUAUCCGAACAUUUUUCUCUCUUAUGGCAGCCCACAUUUUCCAUUAUUUUCACAUUUCUACCUCACAUUUUACCACUUUUGUAAAAUGAUCCCUUUUUGGGGUUUUUCAUGAAAAUCACUUAGGAAAAGAUGUUUAACACACAUCCAACUUUCAUAUUCCUCCAUAAUCCAUCAAAAUACAAGUAACUCAUGCACGGGUAAAUUUUUAAACAUGAACCCUAGAAUGAAAUAUGGGUAGAAAUGGAAAGAGCAAGGUACCAGAAUUUCAAAAAUACAAAGAACAUUAAAAAUGGGGCUUGGGAGCACUUACUAUUGAGUUUGAAAAGCUUGAAAACCCUAGCUAUGGAGGGCUUGAGAGUUUCGGCUGGUACAAGGGAGAAAAUGGCUGAUUUUUGUUUCAUUUUUCCCAUUUUAUUUCAUUAAAAUGACAAAUGACCAAAAUGCCCUUAAGCGCUUUCUUUAAAAUUUCAUCCAUGCAAGCCCAUUUUUGUCCAAAAACUUAGAAAUUGGGCAAAUUGCUCUCCAAUACCUUCUAAUUUAUAAUAUAAAGCAAUUUCAUACAAAUUGCUUCUAGAAUCCAAGUUUUUCAAUUUAUUCAAUUUAGUCCCUAAUUUCCACUUAGACACCUUACUCAAAGAAUUACUUUUUGAAACUUUAACACAUGCAUAUUCUCAUAUUCUAGUCCUCAUAUUAAUCAUAAAAUAAUAUUUUGAUGUCAGAUUUGUGGUCCCGAAACCACUAUUCUGACUAGGCCCUAUUUUGGGAUGUUACAUUUCUCCCCCUUAGGGAUUUUCGUCCUCGAAAAUCUUACUAGUGCACAGAUUUGAAUAUUGGCUUCUCAUGGUUUCUUCCGGCUCCCAUGUAGCCUCUUCCACACCAUGUUGAUGCCAUAAAACUUUUACUAAAGCUACAUCUUUAUUCCUCAACUGUUUAAUCUCAUGGGCUAAAAUCAUAACCAGUUCCUCUCUAUAGGUCAUGUCCGGCCGAAUUUCAACCUCAGUCAGUGAAAUUACAUGACAGGGGUCUGAUCGGUAUCGCCUUAGCAUAGAUACAUUGUGACAGCCCUAAAUUGACCCUAGUCAGAAAGUGGUUUCGGGACCGCUAAACCGAGUCACCGAAGUAUUUGGAUAUGAUAUUUAUUGUCUAAAAUAUGUGAAUAUGAAUGUGUGAAAGUUUUAAGCUUCGAUUUAGUCGAUUGCAUGUGAAUUUAAUUAAUAGGACUUAUGUGUAACACUUUUAAAAGGUGAUAGGUUAAUCUAUAAGGACAUAUUAAUGCAUGUUAUAAAAAUGAUGGGUUUGCAUGUCAAAUUUCCAUUUAUAAUAAGUAGUGGCCGGCCAUGGUAUGGGUCAUUGAUGAUAAUAUGUAUUUUCUAUUAGCAUUAUUAGUUUACAAAAUAAAAUAAGGAAUUAAGAAUAAUAAAACAUGUGGUAAAUGGGAGGAGAAACCAAAGUCUUCAUCUUUGCUCCUCAUUGCCGUGACUAGGAGAGAACAAGCUUGGAAAAAAUUCAGCUAUGGUGGUUAGCUAAAUCAAGGUAAGUUCAAGGAUGAUUCUUGGAUUUCUAGCAUUUUUUUGAGUUAGUCAUUAAGCUCCUUGCUUAGCCCAUGUCCAAAUUUUGAAUCUUUUUGGUAACAUGAGUAAUCGGUUAAGAGAAAAUGUUCAAGAAAUGGUUGUUGUUCAUGUUAUUUGGAUGAAAAGAAAAAAAUUGGUAGUUAGGUGAAGUAGAGUCUAACAAAUGAGCACAUAUGUGCAUUAGUUGCUAGAUGGAGAAAAAUCGGCUAGCAAGUUGAGUACUAAGGCCGAAUAUGAUUUUGGAUAUUAUUGGGCAAUGUAUGUGUUUUGAAUUGAUGGAAUGGAGAGGAUGCUUUAAUUGUGUUAUGAACAAUUAUAUGUUAAAUUAAGGUUUGCUAAGCUAGCUAUUAAGGUGAAGUGCAAAUGUUAGUAUUUGACUGCUAGUGUAUAUAUGUGUAAUAGCCGAAAUGAAGAUGCUUGAUGUCAUGAAUAAAUGUUGUUUAUAGGUUUGGGAAUUGAGUAAAAAUUUGAUGUUUAAUCACUUAAGGAUUCAGCAUUGUUUAAGAUAAUUUACUUAAAAUGUGAUUUUGAAUGUUAUGAGUAUUGGGAUGUAAGUAUAUGUGUGUGCCUGGUCAUAGGAGUUUGCUAUGAAAUUUUGUUUGGUUGAGUGAUGAAUGGCCGAAUGAACUAUAGGCUAGGGUGGAUAAAUUUUUGUACAUAAGUAGUGUGUGUGACUAUUGGUUAAUGAAUAUUCGGCAUAAUGGGGUUUAUGAGUAAAUGGCAUAAUAUAUAUAUAUAUGUGUGUGAAUAUGUGGUAGUGCAUAAAACAAGAAAUCGAUUAAAUUGGGAUGGUCACACAUAGGUAUAUUCGGCUUGUAGUUUUAUAAAUGUGAUAUGAGUAUUUUGUUUGUAAAUGAGUAGUAAAUAUGUUAAGAAUGGUUCUAAAAUGUAUAUGGAUGCCGUGUGAUUGUGUUUGAUUGGGAAGUAAAUUGUUUGAUUUAGCUCAAGAGCUUAGAGGAUCAAAGUUGGAUAAGGGAAAGGAAAAAGUGAUCGAAUAGCCGUUGAAAUCGUUUGACAACAUCCGAGGUAAGUUUUCGAGUAAUGAAACUUAGUUUAUGAUUUGAUUAAGUCAUGACAUAUAAGCAUAACAAAUAAACGGUGAUAUAAUGAUUCUACUUGAAUUGUAUAUUGAGGUGAUUAGUUUAUACCUAUGACGGGUAGCCGAAUGUGUAUAGAGAUCAUGUUUUAAAGCAAAUCAAAAUCAUGCUCUUUGUAUGUGGCUAUUGAGCCGAAAAUGGUAAUGGUUGAUAAGCGUCUUGUGUUUGAAUUCUAGUUAUGAUAAUGAAAUAUGGAUGUGUCAUGAUUUAUUGGUAUAUGUGCUUGAUUAUUCGGAUGAUAUCCGGGCUAAGUCCCGAGGGCAUUUGUGCAAGUUACUAUAUCCGGGCUAAGUCCCGAAGGCAUUUGUGUGAGUAGUUGCUAUACCCGGGCUAAGUCCCGAAGGCAUUUGUGCUAGUGACUAUAUCCGGGCUAAGUCCCGAAGGCAUUCAUGCUAGUGACUAUAUCCGGGCUAAGACCCGAAGGCAUUUGUGGGAGUUGCUAUAUCCGGCUAAAUCCCGAAGAUACUUGGGUUUGGAAGUGAGCGAUCUUGCUGUAAUAAUUUCAAUUAAUACGCUCAUAAAAUACAAACGAUAAGGUAUGUUUCGUAUAUGCAUCGGAAAGGUUGAUUCCUUUCAAAUAGUACUCGCUCAAUUGAUUAACGAGCUUCCGGCCUCUAGUUAGGUUUGAUACCCUGUGUAUGAAUAUAUUGGUUGAAGCGUGAAGAAAUUAUGAUUUUGAGAAUGUGCAUAUAUGAAAUUAUUCAUUUAGUCAUAUGAACGCUAUACUUUAGUCGUAAAUAAUUUCGUUACUCAAAACUGACUAAGCAUUAAAUGCUUAUUCCGUUUAUUUAAUUCUCUGUUUUAUAGAUUUUUGUUCGUCAGCUAUCGGACUCGAGAUUGUCGAAGUCGAAGUCGUCCACACUAUCUAAGCCCUUUUGGUACUCUUUUAGUUAAACGUUGAUAAUGGCAUGUAUAGGACUAACCUUUGUUGUUAAUCAAGUACCUUUGGUAAUGUGUAUAUAUAUUCGGAUAGCCAUGCGAAAAUGGCUUAAAUAUUUUGAGCAUAGUAUUAAAAUCAUUUUGUAUAUAUAUGGUUUUUGAGAGGUGUGGAAAUGCUCGGCAAUGAUUAGCCAUUGGAAUAGUUAAUCACGAUCAUAUUUGGUGCUAUGUAUGUCAAAUGGCUAGUUGAAUCAUGGAAACUAUGAAAUAGGUGAAAUUUACCUUAAAAUAGAUGCUGACAGCAGCAGUGAUGUGAGUUUGAAAAUUCACUACAAAUAGUAUGAAUGUAAUUAAAUAAUGACUAAAUUAUGAAAUCGAACCUUGAUGAGUCUAUUUUCAUAUGGAAGAAUCGAAACAACCAUAUGAGCCGUACUUUAUGAGAUGUUUAAGUUUUUGUGAAACAGGGCCAGAGCGAUUACUGGAUCCCUGUUCUGACUUUGGACAUUUACCAUAAAUUAACCAGAGAUAAUUAGAAGUCAUUCUUUAUAUGCACGUAUUCCUUUUUGAGUCUAGUUUCAUUAGAAAUAAAUGGAAUAUGUAUUGAAGUCUUGUACAGGGAGAUAUCUAAGUCGUAAUGCAUGAAGGUCAGAGUAGUCGAACCUUGAAACAGGGGAGACUUUAACUAAUAAACUAUACUCAUUUGCCCGACCAAAAAUUCUAGAAAAAAAUCUGUAGAUGGAUAUAUGAGUUUAGUUUCAGGGAAAAUUUACGGAAUCAGUUUUCGAGUUUUUGAACUCGAGAUAUGAUUUUUAAGGUGACAAUGACGCAGUUAGCCAGCUUGUCUGGAAAUUUUAAAAUGAACUGUGUAAAUAAAUGAAUUAAGUUCGUUAACACCUCGUGUUCGACUCCGGAAACGGUCUCGGGUGCGGGGCGUUAGAUACAUUGAACACAUCGUGAAUCUUUUCUAGUUCGGGUGGCAAUGCCAAAUGGUAGGCUAACAGUUCAACUCUUUCGGUGAUCUCAUACGGUCCAAUAAAUCGCGGACUCAGUUUGCCUUUUCGACCAAAUCUCAACACCCUUUUCCAUGGAGAUACUUUCAAGAAUACUCUAUCUCCAACUUGGAACUCAAUUUCCUUUCUUUUCAGAUCAGCAUAUGACUUUUGCCUAUCCGAUGCUACUUUUAGACAAUUUCGUAUCACUUUAACUUUCUCUUUAGUUUUUUUAAUCAGAUCAACUCCAUGAAUCUGACUUUCCUUAAGUUCUAUCUAGUACAAUGGAGUUUAGCACUUCCUACCAUACAAGGCCUCAUAAGGUGCCAUCUUGAAACUUGUUUGAAAACUAUUGUUGCAGGAAUAUUCUACCAACGGCAGGUAUUUUUCCCAGCUACCCUGAAAUUCGAGGAUGCAACAUUGCAACAUAUACUCGAGAAUCUGAAUCUUACGUUCAGACUGACCAUCGGUCUGAGGGUGAAAAGUUGUACUAAAGCUCAACUUUGUACCCAAGGGUUCUUGUAAUUUAUUCAAGAAUCUUGAAGGGAACCUCGAGUCUCUCUCUGAAAUGAUCAAUCGUGGUACUCCAUGCAACCUUACAAUCUCAGAAAUGUAUAAGUCGGCCAACUUAUCAAGAGAGUAAUCUGUCCUUACCAGAAUAAAAUGAGCCGACUUCGUUAACUUAUCCACUACAACCCAUAUGGCAUCUUUCUUUUUUGGAGCCAAAGGAAAUCCUGUCACCAAAUCCAUGGUUACUCUGUCCCAUUUCCAUUCAGGGACCAUUACAGGCUAUAACUACCCUGAAGGUACUUGAUGUUCAGCUUUAACUUGCUGACAUACCAAGAAUUUUGAUACAAAUUCAGAAAUAUCUCUUUUCAUGUCGUUCCAUAGUACAUUUUCUUCAAAUUGUUGUACAUCUUGGUACUUCCUGGGUGAAUUGACCAAUGUCUUUCAUGUGCUUCUUGCAAAAUCUUCCGAAUAAGCUCAUUGUCCUUGGGUACACAAACCCUAUCUCUGAACAUCAAACAUCCAUCAGAACCAAUCUAAAAAUCUGAUUCAAUACCUGACUCACAUAAAUAUAGUCAUAGUUCUCAUAAAUAUAAAUAUUAUACCUAACUAAUAAUCAAUUAUCUUCCAUGUCUCAUAACAACCUUUAUUCAAAAAUACCUAUUAACUUAUUUGAAUUUUUUUUGACUAACAAUUAUAAAACAUAAAUAGUUAACCAAAGGUAGCAUAACAAUUAUAGUUCAUUCGACAUAUAUAUUUACGAAACAUCAAAACAUAUUUAAAUAAAUUUUAUAAUAAGUUCCAUUCAUGGAUUAUUACUCACCCAACAAGUAUCAAUUAAUACUUCCACAAACCCAUAAUAAAUCCAAUUGAAAUCAUGUUACAAACUUUAUUAAACAAUCACUUACGUAAAUUAAAUACAUUUUGCUAGGAUCGAUCAUGCUAUUAAUGCAUAUGCGCAUAAUAUACAAAUUUCCCAAAUGUAAAGGUUACGUAUAACAUCCAAGAUAUGUGUACCAAAUAAAUCGAACUAAUUAAACAAAAAAAAAUACUUACAAUAUCAACUGAUCUAAUCAAGGUAAUAUACCUUUAACCAUCAUUUAACUAUAUCACAUUUCAUAUUUCCAACUAAGCAUUAUUCUAACCGAUUUUUUUAGUCAAACACAUCACUCACAUUUAAUGAACACAAUCUCUAAGUUCAGCAAAUUACACAACCAAAUACAAAUUAUAACUAACAUCACUGUCACACUAAUUUCCAAGCAUAUAACACCUAGCACAAUUAUCAUACAUUUUAUAACAAAUUUCAUGACAGCCAAAAUAAAUUAAACCAUGACCAAACAUAACCAAUUCCAAGCUUAGAAAUUAAGCCAUUUUCGCAUGGCUUUAAACAUACAUAACCAAAAUUCAACAUUUCAUACACUUUCUAGCCUAUACAUGCCAUAAUUCUAGUUUAGCUUAUAAGGUACCAAAACAGUAGUUAGUGUGAUGAACUUUACUGACAGUCCCCGAGCUCGUAGCUUUAUCCAAAAUCUAUAAAGUAGAAAUACACAUAUACACAAGUGAGCUUUUUAUAGCUUAGUAAGUCAUAAGCAAAUAAUCAACCCAAGGAUAUUAUCAACUUAAUUUAACUAAACCGAAUUAUAUUAUCAUAACACAUUUAAAUCCAAACGCAUAUAAAUUCAUAUUAUAUAUAUAUACAUAUAUAUUUAUUCAUUACAAAUAUCACCUAACUGAAUGUCUAUAUAGUCAAACUAACAUAUUAGCAUUUAAUUUUCCAAAACCAAAUAAUCAUUACAAAUCUAAUUCACAUACACUCAAUUACAUAAGCUCACAUGUUACCACAUAAUUUCAUAUACAUGUAUUGAUUAUGUGACCGAAUACAUAAAUUCCCAUACAUAUAAUUAAUACUCAUUCCAAUAAUUUUAACAAGGUUGGAUACACGUACCUAGUUCACAAAGAAUCUUAUUUGCAGUACACACAAUUUGUAAUGAGUAUCAAUUUGCACACUUACCUUAUUUUAAAUAAAACUCAAGCUAAUUCAUACCUGGUCAUUUAGCUCAUUUUCAUACUCAAAUACAACUUAUCUUUGCCCGAUGAACCAUUCAGAAUUGGAUAAGACACCCGGAUAAUCACAUAAAUCAUACAAUGCCAACGUCCCAGACGUGGUCUUACAUGUAACCACAUAUCGAUGCCAUUAUCCCAGACAGGGUCUUACUCAUAAACACAUAUCAGUAUCACAUACUGAUGCCAUGGUCUUACUCGUACACAUAUAUCGGGAUCCUAUGUCAUGACAUAUGUAUCCUAGCUAUUCCUAAGGUUCAUUCGGGACUUUCGGACAUCGUAACUCGGUUGAAACGAAUGCUUGAACAUGGUUACCAAGCUUAUACACAUUUGGCAAUAGCAUAUAUAAAUUCAUAUUUUGCAUACCAGCAUAUAUACAUAGCAUUUAACUACAAUUAGAUAUAUCCAUUUGAUUGUAAACUUACCUCGAACGUCAUAAAACAGGAUGAGGCUGUUAGUCGACAACUUUCAUUUUCCCCGGUCCAAAUCUGAUUUCUUUGGUUCUUGAUCUAAACAUAUUCAAAUUAAGCUCAUUCAAACAUAUUUUCAUUCAAUUUAGUCGAAAAACACAUAAAUGUGAAAAUUACCAUUUUACCCCUAACAUUUACAAUUUUUACGAUUUAGUCCUCAUUGCACAAAACACAAAAUAUGCAAAAUUUCAAGGUACCCAUGUUUAGCCGAAUAUUCCUAGUGUUCAUACAAGACCAUAUAUUUUGUUUAUUUCACAUUUUUGUCCCUCAAAUUAUUAUUUUCGAAAUUAAGUUCUAAAUACUCAAAAUCAUCAAAAACUCCAAUACAAAAUAUGUUAAUCUAAAACAUAUCUUUCAUUUUUCAUCAUCAAACAAAAAAAAUCAUAAACUAUCAACAAUGGCACAACUCAAAAUAUUCAUCAAAAUAAAAAAUUAAAGCAUGGGUCUUGAAGAUGACUAAACAUCUAUCUCAAAAAUGUAGAAAUUAUCAAAAACCGAGCUAAACUAGUACCUUAAUCAAGCUUGAAUACCACCGAACCCUAACUUGUUUUUCUUUUUCUUUCUUCUUUAAGUUUUUGCCAAGAGAAAAGGUAAUAUGAAAACCUUAUUUUAAUUUGAUAUAACAUAUAAUAACAUAUAAUAAUAUUUUAUUUAAUUAUUUAUUUAACUUUAAGAAUAUUAUAACAAAGCCAUAUGACAUAUGUCUACCCAUUGCAACUUUAAGGCUUCCAUUUAAAAAGCCAAGUACAAUUUAGCCCUUUUUAGAAAAACCACUGAAUUUUCAUUUUAUGCGAUUAAGUCCUUUUAUUUAAUCGAACACCUAAACGAUAAAAUUAAAUCACGAAAUUUUCACAGAUAUAAAUUCACACAAAAUAAACACAGAAAAUAAUUUUUUAAUUAUUUUUCUGACUCAGAUUUGUGGUCCCGAAACCACCAUUCCGAUUAGGGUCUAAAUCGGGGUGUUACAACUCUCAACCUUAGGGAUUUUCGUCCCUGAAAAUCUUACCGGUGAAUAGGUUCGGAUAACAUUCCUUCAUUGUAUUCUCUAGCUCCAAUGUUGCUUCCUCAACUCCAUGCUUAUGCCAUAAUACUUUAACUAACAGAAUCUUCUUAUUUCGUAACUCUUUAAUCUCACGAGUCAAAAUAUGAAUCGGUUCUUCUUUGUAGGUCAUAUCUGGCUGAAUUUCAAUCUCAAACGGACUAAUCACAAGGGAAUGGUCAGAUCGAUAUCUCCGAAGCAUUGAAACAUAGAAUACAUUGUGGAUCUUUUCUAACUCAGGUGGCAACGAUAAUCUGUAAGCAACUAGCCCAAUACGCUCUAUUACUUUGUAUAGUCCAAUAAACCUCAGGCUCAGUUUGCCUUUGUGACCAAACCUGAGUAUUUUCUUCCACGAUGAGACUUUCAAAAAGACUUUAUCUCCAAUCUGAAACUCUAUAUCUUUAAGUUUCAAGUCCGCAUAAGACUUCUAACGAUCUGAUGCUACUUUCAAGCGUUCACGAAUCACUUUCACCUUCUGUUCAGUUUCUCUUUUCAAGUCAACCCCGUGUAUCUUACUUUCACUGAGCUCAGUCCAGUACAACAGCGUACGGUAUUUACGACCACACAAAGCUUUAUAAGGUGCCAUUUUGAUGCUCGAUUGAUAGCUGUUUUUANNNNNNNNNNNNNNNNNNNNNNNNNNNNNNNNNNNNNNNNNNNNNNNNNNNNNNNNNNNNNNNNNNNNNNNNNNNNNNNNNNNNNNNNNNNNNNNNNNNNNNNNNNNNNNNNNNNNNNNNNNNNNNNNNNNNNNNNNNNNNNNNNNNNNNNNNNNNNNNNNNNNNNNNNNNNNNNNNNNNNNNNNNNNNNNNNNNNNNNNNNNNNNNNNNNNNNNNNNNNNNNNNNNNNNNNNNNNNNNNNNNNNNNNNNNNNNNNNNNNNNNNNNNNNNNNNNNNNNNNNNNNNNNNNNNNNNNNNNNNNNNNNNNNNNNNNNNNNNNNNNNNNNNNNNNNNNNNNNNNNNNNNNNNNNNNNNNNNNNNNNNNNNNNNNNNNNNNNNNNNNNNNNNNNNNNNNNNNNNNNNNNNNNNNNNNNNNNNNNNNNNNNNNNNNNNNNNNNNNNNNNNNNNNNNNNNNNNNNNNNNNNNNNNNNNNNNNNNNNNNNNNNNNNNNNNNNNNNNNNCAACUAGGGCUCACCUGCAAGGAUAGAAGAGAAAGGGGCUGAGUUUGGAAAAUCAGUGUGUAUGGAAAACCCAACCAAAGCCCAAGUCAGCUCAAGCCUAUUGGGCCUAAGCCCUAUUCAGAUAACAGCAGGUAUUAGGCCGAAGCCCUUUUCAAAAUACAGUAAACUGGGCCUUAGCCCCUUAUCAAAUAACGGUAUGGCCCAUAGGCCCAUUCCAGAACAGAACAGAACAGACAUAUUCGUGUAUGCAAGCCCAACCCAGUGUAUAACCAACCACUACACUCCACCCGUACCAGCCCUACACUUCAUGUGAGGAAUAGCUCAACCCACCCAGCCCUAUAUCCAUAGUUGCAGCAUUGCUACUCAGAAAUUAGUAAGUUGAGGCAAAGCCUCCAGUACAUGGACAAGCCACUUUCAGUACUUCCUCCAUCAGUAACCCAGUCCCAUGCAUCAGAUGAUAAUAACAUGGCAUGCAUUAAAUAGUAACAGUCAAACAUGCAUUCAGGUCAACCUUAACCCUAGGGGUAUAUUAGUAAUUUUACUCCUAGGGGUAAAUCUGUAAAUUUUCCACCUAUAAAGGUAUUUCAGUAAUUUUAUCAGUUUUAAGGGUUCUCAUGAAUGUUAGGUCCUUACUAGCCCAUUUGUCAUCGCAAUAAUUUAUUUAUCUCAAUUUCACAAUUUUAGCCAUUGGGCCCUAAAACCCCUAAUGGGCCCUACAGUGUCCAUUAGCAAUUUAAGCCCAUUUAAUUCAAGUUUUAUGACCAGUUUACCAGUUUAAGCAGUUUCGAUUCUACAGUCUAACAGAACAUACUUAUUGCCUAUUUUUUUAUAUUAUAUAUUUUUAUUUUUUUAUUAACCCACAUGAGCCCGUAAGCCCAUUCGUCCCAGUUUAAGCCUAUCAAGGCCCAAUUACCGAAGUGCACGAAAUUUCACACACGAUUAACUUACUACUUUGCGAUUUCAGAUCUAAUGAUUUCUAAAUGUCUUGCGAGCACUCGCACACUCACAAGCCCACGAAAUGUUGAAAUUUUGGCAUUUCGGCUUUUGUCAAAUUAAACUACGAGAGGGUGUUCGAUACACACUUGUUUUGUAUGACUGCUACUGAGAUCCCUUACGAUGUCCUACAAUUGAUUACCACAAUUCUUAGAUUGCAACCCACAACAACCAAUCCCAAUAUUCAGCAACCCAUAUUCGAACCAUGCCCCUAAAGCCUUUAAAAUCUUACCUUUUUGCCGAAAACCGAUGACUAGAUCUAGGUCUAGUUGUUCCAAAGAUCCAAGCCUUCAAUCAAACCUCUAGAAGACACUAAUCACCAAAAGAAAUCUUCGGUUAAAGACCCUUAAAGCCCUAUGCCCAAAUCGACAGCCUCCCUAGAUUUUAGGGACUUCGACUUUUCUAAAUUGUAAAAUAAGACUAGAUCUGAGGUGAUGAGCACUUACCACUUAUUCCUCUUUAAUUGCUAUGCAGAUAUAAUACAGAUCUAUCCUCUAAACGAUAGUAGAACUCGAAUCCAGGAGAUCUGAAGUUUCGGCUAUAAGUCCUUAAAUUUAUGGUAUUUUGGCUUUUUAAGUGAUGAAGAAGAUGACGGUUUGAGGCUAUAACUUUGAAGUAAUGUUGCCGACAGAUACUAAGGGUUUAGAGAAGAUGAAAUUUGAUCAAAAAGAACAAAAAUAACUGAAGGAUUUUGGCUUGGAGAAAUCAGCACAAGAAGUGAGUUUUCGGGAUUUCGGCUUUUAUGGUAAUCGGCUAUGGAGGUUUUGUGGAGGAUGGGAUUGACAGAGGAUGUGAGUAAAAAUCAAAAAGGAAGAAAGAAAAUGGAGGAAAAAGAGAGUAAGAAAAAUCGGCACUAAGGAGAACGAAUUUGUGUUUUCGGCUUUUGUGAGAACUCAGAAAGGAUGAAUGACAGUGAAAGCUUUCAGGUGGCUAACCCUAAUUCUCCAAGACAAAAAAAGAAAAGAACCUAACCCUAAUAUCAACUAAAACAAUCGGCCCAACCUCCCUAAGGCCCUUUCCAAAAUUCACUUAAGUGAUCACAUGCCCGGCACAUGCCUAAAAUUAAAAAGUAACAAUAUGCCUACCUUGCAACUUGAACCCUGGACCUUUAAUUCCUUCCCAGAUGCCAUAAACCCUUUGUAAUUUAUUUAAUUACUACACUAAACAUACGAAAUAAUAAUAAUAAAAAUUAUAAUAAUGAUAACAUCUGAAUUAUUGGGGCCGUCUGCUACCCAAACCCAGACUCAAGGCCCAAUACUUUUAAGCCCAAAAAUCGAGGCGUUACACAACACAUGAUCUAGAAUUGGCAGCUAUUGUGUUUGCAUUGAAGAUAUGGCAUCACUAUUUGUUCGAUGAGAAAUGCCAUGUUUAUUCUGAUCACAAAAGCCUGAAAUAUCUGAUGACUAAGAAAGAUCUGAAGUUAAGACAGCGUUGAUGGUUAGAGCUGUUAAAAGACUAUGAUCUUGUGAUUGGCUACCAUCUGGGAAAGGUUAAUGUUGUUGCUAAUGCUCUAAGCCAAAAAUUACUUUUUUCUUUGCAUGCAAUGAAUGCACAUAUGGCUAUGUCUGAUGAUGGUUCGAUAAUAGCUGAUAAAAUCAAUACCAUUAUUUAUUUAACAAAUUUGUGAGGCUCAGAAAGUUUAUGAUGAUUUGUUAGCAAAACGAGCUCAAUGUGAUUCAAAUGUUGAUUCAGGGUUCAGAGUUGAUGCUGAGGGUUAUUUGAGGUUCAGAAAUUGAAUAUGUAUCCUGAGAAAUUCAAAGUUGAUUCAGAUGAUUUUGAACAAAGCUCAAAGCAGUCGAUUAUCUGCUCACUCGGGUAGUACGAAGAUGUAUAAUGAUCUGAAACAACUUUACUAGUGGCAUGGUAUGAAACAAAACAUUUCUGACUUUGUUUCGGAAUGUUUAGUCUAUCAGCAAGUAAAGGCUGAGUAUCAGGUACCUUCUGGGUUGCUUCGGCUGAUCAUGAUACCUGAGCGGAAAUGGGACAGAGUCACAAUGGAUUUUGUAUUUGGUUUGCCGUUGACAUUGAGCAAGAAAGAUGGAAUCUAGGUUAUUGUGGAUAGAUUGACUAAAUCAGCUCAUUUUGUUCCUGUUCGCACAGAUUACUCGCUUUAUAAGCUAGCUGAAUUGUAUGAUUCUCAGAUUGUGAGAUUACACGGAGUACCUAUUUCUAUAGUUUCAGAUAGAGAUAUGAGGUUUACAUCGCGAUUUUGGAAGAAAGUACAAGAUGCUCUAGGUACGAAAUUACAUUUCAACAAUGCUUUCCAUCCGGAAAUAGAUGGUUAGUUCGAACGAAUCAUUCAGCUACUUGAGGAUAUGUUGAGAUGUUGCAUUCUCGAGUUCGAAGGUACGUGGCAACGAUACUUACCUUUGACUGAAUUUACGUACAAUAAUAGCUUUCAAUCAAGUAUCAAAAUGGCAUCUUAUAAGGCUUUGUACAGUCGUAAAUGUCGUACACCAUUGUAUUGGACCGAGCUCAGUGAAAGUAAGAUACACGGGGUCAAUUUGAUUAGAGAGACUGAACAGAAAGUAAAAGUGAUCCGCGAAAGUUUGAAAACAGCGUCAGAUCAUCAGAAAUCAUAUGCGGACUUGAAACGAAAAGAUAUAGAGUUUCAGACAGGGGACAAAGUCUUUUUGAAAGUUUCACCGUGGAGGAAAAUACUCAGAUUCAAUCGUAAAGGAAAAUUGAGUCCGAGAUUUAAUGGACCAUAUGAGAUUAUAGAGCGUAUUGAGCUGGUUGCUUAUAGACUAUUGUUUCCACCUGAGUUAGAAAAGAUCCAUAAUGUAUUCCAUGUGUCGAUGCUUUGUAGAUAUCGAUCUGAUCCCUCACAUGUGAUUAGUCCGUCACAGAUUGAGAUUAAUUCUGAUAUGACAUAUGAGGAAGAGCCGAUUUGUAUUCUGGCUCGCGAAGUUAAAGAAUUGCGAAAGAAUAAAAUUCUGUUAGUGAAAGUAAUGUGGCAUAAACACGGAGUUGAAGAGGCAACGUGGGAGCCAAAGGAUGCAAUGAAAGAAUGCUUUCUAAACCUCUUUACUGGUAAGAUUUUCGGGGACGAAAAUCCCUAAAGGGGAGAGUUGUAACAGCCCGAUUUAAACCCUAUUCGGAAUGGUGGUUUUGUGAACAUGAAUCUGAGUCAGAAAAAUAUUUUAAAAUUAUUUUCUGUGCUUAUUUUGUGCGAAUUUAUGUGUGAAAUUUUCGUGAUUUAAUUUUGUCGUUUAAGUGCCCGAUUAUAUAAAGGGCUUAAUCGCGUAAAAUGAAAACUUGAUAGUUUAAUGUGUAAGGUCUGAAUUGUUGUUGUCUUGUUAAAUGGAGGCAUUUAAGUUGCAAAUAGACCAUUAAUAUAUGGGAUGGACGGUUGAAACCUUAUGUUAUAAUGGUUUCAUAUUUUAUAAUAAGGUUAAAUAUGUAAAAUAGAUAAUAUGUUAAUAUAUGUUACGUUAUAACAUAAUUAAAAGCCAUUAGUUCACUAUUUUCUCAUGACCGAAUAACAAAAAGAAAGAAAACAAAUAAAGCUUUAGGUGUUCGGCACUUUGAAAGCUUAAUCAAGGUGUGUAACUAGCUUGGUUUUUGAUAAUUUUUAUGUUUUUGAGAUUGUUGCAAUGUAAUGUACAAAGCCCAUGCUUGAAUUUUUUAUUUUGAUGAAUAUUUUGAGUUAUGCCAUUGAUGAAUAUUUGAGCUUUGUGAUGUUAGUUGAUCAAAUAUGAAAGAUAUGUUUUGGAUUAACAUGUUUUGUAUUGGAAUUUUUGAUGAUUAUGAGUAAUUAGGGCUAAAUUGAAAAAAAAUAAUAAAUUAAGGGACUAAAAUGUGAAAUAAAAUAAAUGUAUGGACUUGUAUGAACACAAGGAACAUUCAGCCUACGCAUGGUGUACUCAAAUUUUGCAUGUUUUGUGUUUUGUGCAAUUUGGACUAAAUUGUAAAAAGUGUAAAAUGUCAGGGGUAAAAUAAUAAUUUUCCCAUUUAUAUUUUUUUGGACUAAAUUGACUAAAAAUAUGUUUGAAUGAGUUUAAUUUGAAUAUGUUUAGAUCAAGAACCAAAGAAAUCAGAUUUGGAUCGGGGAAAAACCAAAUUUGUCAACUAGUCGUCCCGUUCCGAUUUUCAUCAUCCAAGGUAAGUUUAUAAGCAAAUAGGUAUUGUUAAUUUUAAUUAUGUACGAGUUUAUAUGCUGAAAUUAAAUUAUGUGAAAUUAUAUAUAUGAAAGUCGAAUGUACAUAUGCAUUGAAACAAAGUUUACGAGUUCGACUCGAUCGAAUUACAACAUCUGAAAGUCUCGUACGAACCUUAGGAAUAGCUAGGAUACAUAUUUCAUGACAUAGGUUUUUCGAUAUGUGUUCCCAUGUAAGACCACGUCUGGGACACUAGCAUCGAUCUAUGAUUACGUGUAAGACCCUGUCUGGGACAGUGGCAUCGAUAUGAGAUAGCAUGUAAGACCACGUCUAGGACGUUGGCAUUGUUUGAUAUAUGUGAUUAUUCGAAUAUCCUAUUCAAUUUCGAAGGGUUCAAUGAGCAAUGAUAAGUUGUGAAUGAAGGUGUAAAACUAGCUAAAACGAUCAAGUAUCAGUUAGUUGAUUACCUAUUCAAAAAUAAGGUAAGUUAGCCAUUUCAUAUAUGAUGCAAAUAAUAUAAGUUAUUAAUGUGAACAUAUGUGCACUUGCAAAGUAUAUUCGGCUAUAUGUUAUGUAUAUGCAAGUGAUGUUAUAUUUUGAUUCAUGAGUAUAUGUAUACGUGUAUAAAUACAUUCGUUUUAUAAUGAUGUUAUGUCUUUGAAAUUGAAUGAUACUUGGGAUAUGCAUGUAUGUACAAUCGGUUAAGAUAAGGUUAUUUAUGAAAGCAUAUGUUAAUUAUGAAAUGUUAAACUUUAGAUUAAAUGUGACUAUGAUAGUAUAACUUGAUUUGGUUAAAAUAAGUUGAUAAUGUCAUUGAGUUGUUAUUUUCUUAUGACUUACUAAGCUUUAAUAGCUUACUGUGUGUUAUGUUUGUCUCUGUUUUAUAGAUUUCCUGAUCUAGUUAUGAGCUCAGGGAUUGUCAGCAAAGUCCAUCACACUAUCGACUAUUUUUGGUAUUUGAUAAGUUUAAAUUUGAACCUAUGGCAUGUAUAGGCUAGUUAAUAUGUUUGAUUUUGAUGUUGAAAUUUGAACCUAUGGCAUGUAUAGGCUAGUUAAUAUGUUAGAUUUUGAAGUUGUGUAUAUAUUAAGCCAUGCGAAAAUGGCUAAUAUGAUAUGUGAGUAUAUAAAAUUUUAGUGAAGUAGAUAAGUGUUUUAUACAUGGAAAGUGGUUGAUGAUUUUGGAUGUGGUUUGUUUGAUUCGUCCAUGGCAUAUACAUAAGCAUGAAAUAUGUUUGUUACGUUAUUCAUGAUUAAAAUGAUUCAAUUUUGACUGGUAUUUGGUAGGAAUGGUUUAACUUGGUUGUCGAAUAUAUUCGGUUAAAUGUUAAAAUUAGGUGAGGAAUAUACUUGAUUGAUGAUUCAGUACUUGCACAUAUAAAUAUAUUUUGGCACAUAAUAUGUUGUGGUACAUGAUCAUGUGUUUCAGUAAUGGAGUAAAUGAUGGAUGUUAUUGAGUUAAAAUAUGUAAUGUAUUAUUUAGUAAUAUGUAUGCCAUAUACAUUUAUAGUGUGCUUGGUAUAUGCUCACGGUUUUAAAGUAAUGAUGUAAAUAGAUCAUGGUUAAUCAUUUUGGAACGCUUUUCAUAUUAGAUAUAUAUAUACAUAUAUGUAUUUUGGUUGUGUCUUAAAAUUUGGUUUACUUGGAACAUAUGAUUUGUACUAUGAAUUAGUUUAAGUUAUUAAAUUUAAUACAAGGAAUAUAUGUUUGUCAUGUUUUUUAUAAGUUUCGGUAAAAUGGAUAAAGUUAAGUAUAAUGUAUAUUCGGCUGUAGUACUAGAUCUUUUUAUAAGUGUUUCUAGCAUAUUUAUGUGAUGGAAUAGUAUGAUCAUGUGUAUUUGGGUACGUAAGAUUAAUUUAUGAAUGAUUUUUCAUAGUGAAUGAGAUGUAAUUUAGUUUGUUUCUUUUG